CUUUGGAAGAACCUUCCUCUGAAGCUGGCUCUGUACAUUUAAAUAAGAAUACUGCAAAUCAUCAAAGCCUUUAGCAAGUCUGACUCUUGGAGUGAGCCUUUGUUUUUCUUCAUUUAUAAAAGGAAAAGGGGACUGUACUGUUCACAUUUAUUUAUUUUUUUAUUUUUUUAAUUGAUCAUUCUUGGGUGUUUCUCCCAGAGGGGGAUUUGGCAGGGUCAUAGGACAAUAGUGGAGGGAAGGUCAGCAGAUAAACAAGUGAACAAAGGUCUCUGGUUUUCCUAGGCAGAGGACCCUGCGGCCUUCCGCAGUGUUUGUGUCCCUGGGUACUUGAGAUUAGGGAGUGGUGAUGACUCUUAACGAGCAUGCUGCCUUCAAGUAUCUGUGAUGUGAGGAGCGCCUCUGCCCGGCCGCGACCCCGUCUGGGAGGUGAGGAGCAUCUCUGCCCGGCCGCCCCGUCUGAGAAGUGAGGAGACCCUCUACCUGGCAACCGCCCCGUCUGAGAAGUGAGGAGCCCCUCCGCCUGGCAGCCACCCCGUCUGGGAAAGUCAUUCUUAUAGAAGAGCAUCAGAGGAAGAUAAAAAAGAAUCCUCAAUGUCAGGCCCCUGAGCCCAAGCUAAGCCAU
Molecule: long non-coding RNA, 622 nt
Organism: Homo sapiens (human)
Lineage: Eukaryota; Metazoa; Chordata; Mammalia; Primates; Hominidae
Source: Ensembl